ACGAACGCUAGCGACGUGCCUAAGAAAUGCAAGUCGAGCGAGAUUAGAGAGCUUGCUCUCGAAGCCUAGCGGCGAACGGUCGCGUAACACGUAAGCAACCUGCCCUAAAGUUUGGGAUAGCCAUCCGAAAGGGGGAUUAAUACCGGAUGUGGAUGCAUCUUCGCCUGUUGAUGCAUCUAAAGCAGCAAUGCGCUUUAGGAUGGGCUUGCGGCCUAUCAGCUAGUUGGUGUGGGUAACGGCUCACCAAGGCGACGACGGGUAGCUGGUCUGAGAGGAUGGUCAGCCGGACUGGGACUGAGAUACGGCCCAGACUCCUACGGGGGGCAGCAAUUAGGAAUCUUGCGCAAUGGGCGAAAGCCUGACGCAGCGACGUCGCGUGACUGAUGAAGUCUUUCGGGAUGUAAAAGUCUUUUUUGGGGGAAGAAGGAUGUGACGGUACCCCAAGAAUAAGCCCCGGCUAACUACGU
Molecule: ribosomal RNA, 467 nt
Filed under: uncultured bacterium
Lineage: Bacteria
Description: bacterial SSU rRNA
Rfam family: Bacterial small subunit ribosomal RNA
Source: RNAcentral